AUUGAACGCUGGCGGCAGGCCUAACACAUGCAAGUCGAGCGCGCGGCGGACUGGUGAGUAAUGUAUGGGGACUGCCCGAUAGAGGGGGAUAACUACUGGAAACGGUGGCUAAUACCGCAUACUAUCGGAUAACCCAUAUGGGAUUAGCUAGUAGGUGGGGUAAAGGCUGACCUAGGCGACGACCUCUAGCUGGUCCGCGAGGAUGAUUAGCCAACUGGGGACUGAGACACGGCCCAGACUCCUACGGAGGCAGCAGUGGGGAAUAUUGCACUAUGGGCGCAAGCCUGAUGCAGCCGUGCCGCGUGUAGGAAGAAGGCCUUAGGGUUUUAAAGUACUUUCAGCGGGGAGGCGUUACCCGAAGAAGAAGCACCGGCUAACUCCGUGCCAGCAGCCGCGGUAAUUC
This 403-nucleotide ribosomal RNA is filed under the name uncultured bacterium. RNAcentral's name for it is "partial 16S ribosomal RNA". It matches the Rfam family "Bacterial small subunit ribosomal RNA", at positions 30 to 526 of the family's 1533-position model. The record is from RNAcentral.